UGAACGCAAAUUGCACUCUCUGGUAUUCCGGAGAGUAUGCCUGUUUGAGGGUUGGUUUAAAUAAUAAUCGAUAUGUUGCUUUGUGACAUUUCGGAGUUGGGUCAUCUUAAUUUUACUUUAAGGGACCUAAAAUUGAUGUUCUUGCGCAUCUAGACAUGUAUAAUUUUUUUAUCUUGUUACCGGAUGCCAGAUAUUUAUUAGGUGUGACUAUGUUAAAUGGUUUAAUGCCUAUAAUUCUUGAUUUCAACCUCAAAUCAGGUAAGGAUACCCGCUGAACUUAA
RNAcentral lists this unclassified non-coding RNA (281 nucleotides) under uncultured fungus. RNAcentral's name for it is "sequence contains ITS2". The stretch from base 1 to 54 matches the Rfam family "5.8S ribosomal RNA", at positions 101 to 154 of the family's 154-position model. The record is from RNAcentral. Lineage: Eukaryota; Fungi.